This 526-nucleotide long non-coding RNA is filed under the name Salvator merianae (Argentine black and white tegu). RNAcentral describes it as "lncRNA (ENSSMRG00000005285.1)". Lineage: Eukaryota; Metazoa; Chordata; Lepidosauria; Squamata; Teiidae. The record is from RNAcentral.
CGGGGCAGCAAUUAAUCAUCUAUUAAAAGGAAAAAGUAAACGGACAGUUCCGCGCAGUCUUCUUAAACUACCCGCGACUGUAUUGUGUUUUGUGCUGGAGUCUCCAGAGGCCCCCCACUUUUCGACUAGAUGGCCUUUUUAGUUCCUCGGAGUCUGUGUUCUGGCUCAGGCCUGUAUGUAACGCGCAGCAACAAGAAAAGCAAAGUUCUGCGAAGUUAGAUGGCGGCUCCCACCAAGAACUUCCCGGGCCGGAGGAGUCUUUUCUAGAGCUUUCUAAAUCAAAUGGGUGCAGAAUAGGACUUUGUGCAGCCCCGUCUAAUUGCAUCUUUACUCAAACGUAAAUCCUAAUGAGUUUAAUGGGGCUUGUUCCUAAGUAAGUAUCCACCGAACUGCAUCCUUAAUCUGCCUGAACUGUCAAGUUUAAGAGAGGGUUGAAACCAUCCCCUCCCGGGUACAAACCAUGAGCCAUUUACUGUAGAGUUCUCCCGGUGAUAGCUAAAGGUUAUGCCAAUAUAAGCGGUCACGC